GUACUUUGCUCCUGAUAGACAAUUUCUUCCUUAGCGUAUUCUUCAACUACAGCAGCUGAGCAAUGCAAGGCAAAUGUAGUGCUUGGCUUGGCUCUUCUGGAGUUCCACCUGCAACAGGGAGAUGAUCAAAGUAUCGAAAGUCUGGCCUGAGCUGGGAAAUUCAGUAAUGGAGACUCAAUGAUUUGUUCAGUAGAAACCAGACUGUAUUCAGGUCUCCUCUGAGAUUAGAUGGCAAUGGCUACGGAAAGGAGCAGAGUUGGAAAAUGCUGUCCUUUGUAGCAGUUACUAAGGCAAGGCUCUUGUUUGUGUCCUGAACCCACCAUAUUCCAAGUCAAUAAGCUGUCCAGUGUGUGAGACUGCCACUUGGAAUCUGGAAAAGAAAGGCUCAGUUUCCUCCUCUAUUUGAUCUAUACCAGGGAUUUCCAACUUCCCCGGAGAGGAAUCUUCAACACUGAAAAUGGGAUGUCUUGAAGGAUUCAUGAUCUGCAAUUCCUGCAGCCCUGAGGAUAACUAGUUCAGACAUAAAAAUUAUCUGAUAAACAGCUGAGACAAUUCUCCCUUUGAAGCUGGUUCCAUCUACAGAUGAAUGUGCUGUUGGAAGAAGUACUUUUCCUUCUUUUCCGCUAGUGCUGUGUCCCUCUGCCCCGCGUUCUGCCUGUGUGACCCACCAUAACUCCAGAGUGAAAAGCAAGAUUUUGAACCACUGAUUCAUGGUUGAUGGAUUUGCUCUAUAAAUUUUGUUAUGUUACGGUGGAUUUGGAAAUGGAAACCUUGCAAGCGAGAUAAUUUCAUAUUGCUGUUGUUAUUCUCAUAUACCUCUUUCCCACAGCUUUGAUGGUGUUGUUUUCAGCUAAUGGCAUGCAAUAAAUAUUUUGUGAAAC
Non-coding RNA from Cyanistes caeruleus (blue tit), 881 nucleotides. NCBI's taxonomy places the organism in Eukaryota, Metazoa, Chordata, Aves, Passeriformes, Paridae. The record is from RefSeq and is a predicted model, not a curated record.